UACGAAGGGGGCUAGCGUUGUUCGGAAUUACUGGGCGUAAAGCGCACGUAGGCGGGUUAUUAGGUCAGGGGUGAAAUCCCGGAGCUCAACUCCGGAACUGCCUUUGAUACUGGUAAUCUAGAGAUCGGAAGAGGUUAGUGGAAUUCCCAGUGUAGAGGUGAAAUUCGUAGAUAUUGGGAAGAACACCAGUGGCGAAGGCGGCUAACUGGUCCGAUACUGACGCUGAGGUGCGAAAGCGUGGGGAGCAAACAGG
Molecule: ribosomal RNA, 253 nt
Filed under: uncultured bacterium
Lineage: Bacteria
Description: partial 16S ribosomal RNA
Rfam family: Bacterial small subunit ribosomal RNA
Source: RNAcentral